AACGAACGCUGGCGGCAUGCCUAACACAUGCAAGUCGAACGAGACCUUCGGGUCUAGUGGCGCACGGGUGCGUAACGCGUGGGAAUCUGCCCUUGGGUUCGGAACAACAGUUGGAAACGACUGCUAAUACCGGAUGAUGACUUCGGUCCAAAGAUUUAUCGCCCAAGGAUGAGCCCGCGUAGGAUUAGCUUGUUGGUGAGGUAAAAGCUCACCAAGGCGACGAUCCUUAGCUGGUCUGAGAGGAUGAUCAGCCACACUGGGACUGAGACACGGCCUAGACUCCUACGGGAGGCAGCAGUGGGGAAUAUUGGACAAUGGGCGAAAGCCUGACCCAGCAAUGCCGCGUGAGUGAUGAAGGCCUUAGGGUUGUAAAGCUCUUUUACCCGGGAUGAUAAUGACAGUACCGGGAGAAUAAGCCCCGGCUAACUCCGUGCCAGCAGCCGCGGUAAUACGGAGGGGCUAGCGUGUUCGGAAUUACUGGGCGUAAAGCGCACGUAGCGGUCG
Molecule: ribosomal RNA, 504 nt
Filed under: uncultured bacterium
Lineage: Bacteria
Description: bacterial SSU rRNA
Rfam family: Bacterial small subunit ribosomal RNA
Source: RNAcentral